RNAcentral lists this long non-coding RNA (3012 nucleotides) under Salvia miltiorrhiza (redroot sage). RNAcentral's name for it is "long non-coding RNA (SMIL_LNC006156)". The record is from RNAcentral. Lineage: Eukaryota; Viridiplantae; Streptophyta; Magnoliopsida; Lamiales; Lamiaceae.
UUUUAUUUAAUAUUUAAUAUUUAAUUUAUAAUUAUAAUUUGACACUCAACAGUAAACUACUACUCCCGGAAUCGUCUAGGGCAGAGACCUGCUUUCCCCUCUUCCUCUCCUUCGUCGUCUUCCAUCCCUCCCCUCUUUCACACACACACACACACACCGCACACACUGAAAGCUCUCCGGUAAUACAAAAUCUACUUUCCACAAACAGCAAACAAGACCAAUCAUUGCAACUCGCUAAUUUACUUUAUUAUGCCCCCUAGCAUGGCGACUGAAAAUUCCACAAACACUUCACGAGCUGAGGAACUCAAAGUCCAAGCGAAUGAAGCCUUCAAAGGUAGUAUUGCCAACCACUGUCAAAGUUUUCCCCGUUUGGUUUUCUUUCUAGUGCAACUGUUGGUUUAAUGGAAGACAGUUUUGUAAUUUUGUUUUUUCAUUUUUUUUUGUUUAGUAAUUCAUUGAUUGUUGCGUUUGCAGCGCAUAAAUACUCCCAAGCGAUUGAUUUGUAUACGCAAGCGAUAGAGUUGAAUAAUGAUAAUGCGGUUUACUGGGCUAACCGUGCGUUUGCGCACACUAAGUUGGAGGAGUAUGGGAGUGCUAUACAGNUUGUGAACGGCUAAAAAAAAUACGAAUCAGGAUAGCCGGGACCGAGGGAGUAUAAAAUAUUGAUACUCAGUAACCAAUUAGAAAAGGUUUUGUGUUAGCGCACAACGUGUGGACGGCACCGGCCCUAACAAAGCCAGAGUGACAGCUUGGAGAAGCAUUUGUAACAGGCUGCCAACAUGCGAAAACCUUCUCAAAAGGAAUGUCCUCAUCCCGGCCGAAGAACAGUGGUGCAAUGCGUGUGUGUGGAGGAAGGAAACAACUGAACAUUCUUUUCUCCAUUGUCCGAAAGUCGAUCGCGUGUGGGACAAAAUCAAUCAAUGGAUCGGAAUGAAAACGGCUAAACCACAAAAAGUCGAACAUCAUUUCAUGUCUUUCAUUGGAGGAGGAAGAGGUAAGAGAAACAAGAACUUCCUUAAAGCUCUUUGGAUCGGGACUGUUUGGCUGAUCUGGAAGUAUAGGAAUGAGAGUAGGUUUGAGAACAAGAAUUGGGAGGUGUCCAAUCUUGUUAAUGAGGUCAAAGGGAGGCUUUGGAGUUGGAACAAAAUCUUCCAUGUGGUCGAGUCCAAUGUUCCUUUUACCUUGUGGUGCUCUAACGAGUACGCACCACUUGUAUGAUGUUUUUGGUACUCCUGGUACCGUCCCAGUUUUUUAAUAGAUUUUUAAUUGAUCAAAAAAAAAAAGAAAAGGUUUUGUGUUUGGCUAGUUCGAUCACUAAUUGUUGAAUCCAAGUGGAACUAUCAAAUUUUGAAACGCACUCACAGAGUCACAGUUCACAAGUUUCAUGUUAGGUAGCUUUUGUUUUAAAUACUUUUCGCAUUGAAUACUGAUAUUUUUUUAGCAAAUUAUUGUACGAAUGCAAAAUGUGUGUGAAAUAAGCAAGGAUAGUUUUUCUGAGCAUUAAAUAUGAAAAUGACAGGUUAAAUUGAUAUGGUAUAAGAAUAUAAGCUUAAGUACUUCAGUGCUUGACGAUGUAUUUCAUGAUCAAAUAUUCAAACAAGUUCAUAUUCACUCAAUUUAUGCUUACAUAAAACAACAUUUGAUUUAUAAAAUAUGAUUUGUUUAUUAAAUUUCUAAGAUACAGUUAAUUCAUUGAUAAUUAGUAGUAGCAUUUUAUACGAACACAAUAGUAUUGCUUUUUCUAAAAUGGUUCGAGAAAUUGGACGAUAAAUUCUGCCUUUCCAUAAAUUUAAAUUUUUGACAUAUUUAUAGAAGUUAGAUAUAAUGCUUGAUUACCUUUUGUUUUUUGCUCUUUUAGCUGGGCGAUUAGCUUUAAAUGUGAAAAUUACACUUUUAGAUAUAUUUUUUCCAAUUAUUUUAUUACUAUCAUAGAUGUGGAUUUUGCAACUAGAAAUUCGCAGUCUAAUAUGCCUAUUCGGCUAAUCCCACCUGAAAAUAGGGAGGGCGUUAAUUUUUUAGAGGGUUUUGAGUUGAAAAGCAUUAGUAAUAAUUAAUAAAUGUAUGAAAAUAUGUUUUCAAAAUUCCACCUUUUGUCUCUUUUAUUGAUGAAUUGCGAUUUCCACUAUGCUUAUGUAUGAUUUUUUUUUUUCAUUGUAUACAAGAAAUAAUGGUUGCAAAUUUUCAUGAAAAAAGGUGUUUUGUUAGACACAAAAGUGUGUUGGGUUGAGUUUAUAAUAAAAAAAAAUAGUAUUGUUUUGUUAUUUUUAUCGUAUACCUUUCUUAUUUUGUGAUUAAUUAUUGUCAAUUAUAGUUUUUCAAAUUUAUUAAAACAUUUAACUUUACAAGUGCUUGAAACACACUCCAUAUAAUACAAUAUUGGAGGCUUGGAGAUUAUAAAAUACCUAAAAUAAGCUUAUAUAAAUAUUCUGACAACGAAAGCAGCUUAAUUGCUAAGAUGUUUUCCUCUAAUGAAUAAGUCGAAUGUUUGAAUCACCACGAGAGAAAUGAGAAAUCAUUAUUGAUUUUGUCGAAAAAAAAAAUCUUAUGUAAACACUACAUGGUCGAUCACUGUAUCAACAAAUUUAAGAUAUUAUGAGAAUUUUCCAAACACUAUAAAAUUUGCACUUACUCUAAAUUAUAAGCCCUAUUAAGUUUUUGAAUAUUAGAUUUUUAUGAAUGCCUCAUCUCGUUUUGAGUUUGGUUGGUGGGGGGUAUUAGGCUAUUUAUUUAUUUAAUAUUUAAUAUUUAAUAUUUAAUAUUUAAUUUAUAAUUAUAAUUUGACACUCAACAGUAAACUACUACUCCCGGAAUCGUCUAGGGCAGAGACCUGCUUUCCCCUCUUCCUCUCCUUCGUCGUCUUCCAUCCCUCCCCUCUUUCACACACACACACACACACACACCGCACACACUGAAAGCUCUCCGGUAAUACAAAAUCUACUUUCCACAAACAGCAAACAAGACCAAUCAUUGCAACUCGCUAAUUUACUUUAUUAUGCCCCCUAGCAUGGCGAC